CACGUAGUUAGCCGUGGCUUAUUCGCAGGGUACCGUCAUCAUCUCCCCCUGCAAAAGGGCUUUACAACCCGAAGGCCUUCAUCGCCCACGCGGCGUUGCUGGGUCAGGCUUUCGCCCAUUCCCAAGAUUCCUAG
RNAcentral lists this ribosomal RNA (134 nucleotides) under uncultured bacterium. Its description in RNAcentral is "partial 16S ribosomal RNA". The record is from RNAcentral.